This is a long non-coding RNA of Oncorhynchus tshawytscha (Chinook salmon), 726 nucleotides long. RefSeq lists it as uncharacterized. Lineage: Eukaryota; Metazoa; Chordata; Actinopteri; Salmoniformes; Salmonidae. The transcript has 3 exons. The record is from RefSeq and is a predicted model, not a curated record.
GAGGUGUUCGUUAGACUUGGACUAGUCAUUUAUUCUGAAAAUGUAACACAAAUGCUCAUGUUUUUUUUCCAUCUUUUGCAGGCCCAGAAAAAUACUGGACUUACCGCUGGGUCCAUGCAGUGGAACAUCCAAUAGUCCUUUUUGGAACUUUCUGCUUCUUCACAACCAGAAAUAUACCAUGGGAUAUACCCAAGCAAAUAUUUUUACGAUAGUACUAGCUAUAACAGUUAGUAGCUAUAAUACAAACAAUUCCAUAGGUAAACGGCAACAGAACUCUCCUAAUUGUACUUAUUUUCUCCCUGCUCUGUACCCUCCCCAUAUCCCAUUGUAACAUACCUGGUGUGCACUCAGAUGAGAAAGUGUUAAGAGCAAGACUCACUGCCUUACCUCAUCAGCAGCUGCAAUACACAUAUAUUUAAUACCGGGUAUCACAAGGGCCAGCCAUACCUGUCAGACCCCAGGGUGAAGUUUCGACCAGUGGACCAAGACUGAAGGACAGCAUUAUGCCGAAGAAGACUGUUGUUGGUGGCCAUUUUUGCUUCCCUCACACCCCUCAGAUAUUCACACAGUCAGUGGCAGUUGGCUCAGCUCAAGUUCUUCUGGUUGCUGCAAAUGACCUAAAGAGGGAGAUGGAGGGUCUGCAUUAUCGUUAGCACAAGCAGCUGGCAAUCCAAGGUCAGAUCAUUGCUGUGCAGUAUGUGACAUGGCCAAAGGAGGCACUGUCAG